AUUGAACGCUGGCGGCAGGCUUAACACAUGCAAGUUGAGCGGUAACAGAGAGAAGCUUGCUUCUCUGCUGACGAGCGGCGGACGGGUGAGUAAUGCCUAGGAAUCUGCCUAGUAGUGGGGGAUAACUUGCCGAAAGGUAAGCUAAUACCGCAUACGUCCUACGGGAGAAAGGAGGGGACCUUCGGGCCUUUCGCUAUUAGAUGAGCCUAGGUCGGAUUAGUUAGUUGGUGAGGUAAUGGCUCACCAAGACCGCGAUCCGUAACUGGUCUGAGAGGAUGAUCAGUCACACUGGAACUGAGACACGGUCCAGACUCCUACGGGAGGCAGCAGUGGGGAAUAUUGGACAAAGGGGGGAACCCUGAUCCAGCCAUGCCGCGUGUGUGAAGAAGGUCUUAGGAUUGUAAAGCACUUUAAGUUGGGAGGAAGAGCAGUUAACUAAUAUUUGACUGUUUUGACGUUACCGACAGAAUAAGCACCGGCUAACUUCGCG
This 490-nucleotide ribosomal RNA is filed under the name uncultured bacterium. Its description in RNAcentral is "partial 16S ribosomal RNA". It matches the Rfam family "Bacterial small subunit ribosomal RNA", at positions 30 to 507 of the family's 1533-position model. The record is from RNAcentral.